UGGAUCAGCCUCCGUUAUGUUAUUCUUUGCACUUUCAGGGUCAGCAUCUUCAGUGUUAGGAUCACCAAGAGAUCCUUUAACAACAGCUCUUUGAGAUUCCUGUGCUCUGGAAGGACACACCGCACACUACUUCAGCAACUAGCCUAGCUUCAGAUCUCCAAUCUUAAGGAGAACCUAAUUUCACUAUUGGGAUCAAGUAACAUCUCCAUCACAGAAGACUGUGUUAGCAGAGACAUUUGGAGUUGAGUUUGGAAUCUGGAGCAUCAAGUGCUCAGCACUGUCUACAGAUAAGGAGGACAGUUGCUCAAUCCAUCAUGAUUAAUAUGGAACAGUUUCUUGGGGCACAGGCGGCAGCAGUCAGACCGUGCAGAGCCCUGAAGGUCAGCCUCAGGAUUUCCACCCAGGAGGAAGGCAAGCAGGAAAGUGAUGUGAAAAGGUUUCCGUUUUAAAAGCUCACCACUGCCUCUAGUGUGGUCUAGGAACAGAGGAGACCCUCUUGAGGACUGUUUUGAAGAGGAGGCCAUUGGAGUGCUUUAGGUGAAAGAAGAUGGUGGUAGUAAACAGAGGGGGAUUUCAGAGAGAUUUAGGAGGCCAAAAAUCUUCAGCAACUGGUGAGUGGCUGGACAUGGGGAGAGGGAGAGGGAAGUAGAACAAAUAACUAACAAGCAACUGAGUCCAUAAUGGUGCCACCUGCUGAGAUCAAGGGCGCGGGUGAC
Molecule: long non-coding RNA, 716 nt
Filed under: Camelus dromedarius (Arabian camel)
Lineage: Eukaryota; Metazoa; Chordata; Mammalia; Artiodactyla; Camelidae
Description: lncRNA (ENSCDRG00005001005.1)
Source: RNAcentral